Molecule: ribosomal RNA, 524 nt
Filed under: uncultured bacterium
Lineage: Bacteria
Description: partial 16S ribosomal RNA
Rfam family: Bacterial small subunit ribosomal RNA
Source: RNAcentral
AUUGAACGCUGGCGGCAGGCUUAACACAUGCAAGUCGAGCGCAGGAAGCUGACGGAACUCUUCGGAGGGAAGGCAGUGGAAUGAGCGGCGGACGGGUGAGUAACACGUAAGGAACCUGCCUCAAGGAUUGGGAUAACUCCGAGAAAUCGGAGCUAAUACCGGAUAGUUCAACGGACCGCAUGGUCCGCUGAUGAAAGGCGCUCCGGCGUCACCUUGAGAUGGCCUUGCGGUGCAUUAGCUAGUUGGUGGGGUAACGGCCCACCAAGGCGACGAUGCAUAGCCGACCUGAGAGGGUGAUCGGCCACACUGGGGCUGAGACACGGCCCAGACUCCUACGGGAGGCAGCAGUAGGGAAUCUUCCACAAUGGACGAAAGUCUGAUGGAGCAACGCCGCGUGAGUGAUGAAGGUUUUCGGAUCGUAAAACUCUGUUGUAAGGGAAGAACACGUACGAGAGGAAAUGCUCGUACCUUGACGGUACCUUACGAGAAAGCCACGGCUAACUACGUGCCAGCCGCCGCAGUAA